ACCUCCCCCCAAGCAUUGCUAGCUUCACUCGUCUCCAUGGCUGAAUCUCCUCUAUUUCUUCUUCCAUUAGCACACCACACACCAGCGGCCAUCGUGGGUCGCCUUAGACCGGCGCCGCUACUGCCUCCCGUUGCUUCAACCCCUGCUCCUGCAACACCGACGUUCUGCAUCGCCGCUGCAAACCACCGUCUCCGUUUGCAAGCACAUGGGUCCAGAGGAUGCCAGGGACUGGUCACCAUCUGGGGAGCGAGGGGUCACGGCCGCCUAUGCGCGAGCGCCGGCUUGGGCUGCGAAUCCGGCGGUGCAGCGCGGGCGGCUGCUCUCUUAGCAUCUAUGCGCGCCGACGCUGCAUACCCGGGCCACCGACGAACUACCCCCGGCUGCACAACAGUGUUGUGGGGGUGGCGAGCGGCGCUGCAAAAGAUGACGCCCGGGCACCGCUGCAGUAGGGAGGGCAUCGACGCUGCACUGAUCGGCCAUGUUGUGCAACACGACAGAGCGCGGCAAGGCUGCAGUGACUGGUGUUGUUGUGCAACACGACGGAUGCUCACCGGCGACCGGCGGUGUUGCAAUGCAGUGCUCGCCGACGGGUCGUUCAAGCUCUGCCGGGGCUGCAAUGAAGUGUUGUCGAAGCUGCAAUGAAGCGCAUCGGGGUCGUUGAAUCUCCAUCGGGGUUACAAUGGAGCACCACAAGGGCUGCAAUGGAGCGUCGUCGGUGCUUCACCCCAUGUUGUGUUGCCAUGGAAGCUGUCGCUGAAGCUUUUUGCCGGUGUUUCCAAUCCCCCGGCGGCCCCGGUGCUGCGAUGCAGUGUCUCCGGAGGCACUCGCCGGCGGCCCCGGUGCUGCGCAGAUCGAAUAGAGAAGAAAGACAAGGUAGUCGGUGCUCCAGUCCUGGGAAGUAGUCGUGUGAUGGUGAAGAACAGAGAAGAAAGACGACGGCUCUGUUUGUUGCUAUCGAACGGCCACCAUCUGUCAGAUCAGAUGGCUGUCGAGUCGGAUGAUUUCCUACAGAAAUCAUCUGGUAGAUUUGUAGCAGCCGCCUACAAUAUUUUGCCUUAACACCCAGGAUCCAUCUUGAUGGAUGGCAGCGGACUGGACAAGACUUCGGUAAGAAACCAAGACGUGGAGAGCUGAGUGGUAAGACCCAACUUGUCGGCCGAUGGAAUAUGAGCCUUGGCAGUGGCAUAUCCGACAAGCCACGCCGCACGGCGUGCAUCGUGAAGGGCCGAGGUGACCCGAUAAGGAGAGAAGCAUCGCGCCGAUGUUUCUACCUCUCCUUGGUUGUCGGAGAUCCUGCCCCCGAUGAGUGCUUUGGUGUCACAAUAGAAAAGCGUGAUGCGGAGCAUCCUACGGUUAUCACCAUGGCUGCUUCAUAACAUAUCUAGUAGACCAAUGACAAAGAGCUUGUGCAAGAUCUAUUAUAAUCGAGGUACGACAACCGCCCCAUAACCAAGAGUUGAAGGAGAAGGAGCGGAAGAGGAGGAGAUGACAAGCGUCAAGAAGAAGGCUCCAAAAGAUGCCCGGGACUUCCGACCCAAACACUCAAAAACAUUGUUCGAGCAUGCAAACUCUCUGGAUAGAUGGAUAGCCCGGAACCUUCCUGGAACCUCGCCCGGAACUUCUGACCUGCCUAUGCGUAGUGACUUGGGCCGAUGCCCGUGUAUACUACUGCAGGAUCCUGCUAACGCAACACUAUAACCAGAGACCCUUCAAAUUAUGUGCGAUGCAUAAAUCGCAAAUGACGGUGUAAGAAAACCGUCAAAAAUGGCACGAAUUGUUUGCGA
Triticum dicoccoides is the source of this 1784-nucleotide long non-coding RNA. RefSeq lists it as uncharacterized. The record is from RefSeq and is a predicted model, not a curated record. NCBI's taxonomy places the organism in Eukaryota, Viridiplantae, Streptophyta, Magnoliopsida, Poales, Poaceae. The transcript has 2 exons.